CAAACUAAAGAUGGCGACCGGCGCACGGGUGAGUAACACGUAUCCAACCUGCCGAUAACUCGGGGAUAGCCUUUCGAAAGAAAGAUUAAUAUCCGAUAGUAUAUUUUCUCCACAUGGCGAGAAUAUUAAAGAAUUUCGGUUAUCGAUGGGGAUGCGUUCCAUUAGUUUGUUGGCGGGGUAACGGCCCACCAAGACUACGAUGGAUAGGGGUUCUGAGAGGAAGGUCCCCCACAUUGGAACUGAGACACGGUCCAA
Molecule: ribosomal RNA, 255 nt
Filed under: uncultured bacterium
Lineage: Bacteria
Description: partial 16S ribosomal RNA
Rfam family: Bacterial small subunit ribosomal RNA
Source: RNAcentral